Molecule: long non-coding RNA, 1220 nt
Organism: Salvelinus fontinalis (brook trout)
Lineage: Eukaryota; Metazoa; Chordata; Actinopteri; Salmoniformes; Salmonidae
Exons: 3
Source: RefSeq, a predicted model, not a curated record
UUGUGAUACCCGGAACUAGACAAGCCAUAUACUGUGUUAUUCAGCGAAAUUUCAGCUUUCAUUGAAAAAACUAUGUUUCUAACAAUUACCGUUCAAUCGUUAUUAAUAUAAAUAUAAACUAUGCAUGUUUGGCGCAUGGGUUCGUCAAUCGACUUUAGGGGUUUCUAUAAUGAAGACCAUGUACAGUGACUCACUUCACAUUAUCUUGCUGAGGUUGUAAAAGUUAUUUAUCUUGUGUGUUUUCCAGCCAUUUCCCACAAGAUUAUUAAAACAAUAUUUUACGGGACAGUUACCAGGAACAGGAAGUGAACUGCACGAGCCUACAGCUGUAUGAGCCUACAGUCUGACAAAGAAGAACACUGCUAUCUGCUGGGGAAAGGAAAGUGUCUACCUCUACUGUGGCUGUCGUACUCUGCUCCAGUGAAGAGGUGCUCCAGAAUGAAGUCAAGCAGCGUCCUCUGAAGUUUAGAGUUGUGGGUGUAGAGCAAGGGGCCCACACCUGCAAAUGCUAGUUCUGGGCCGUCAGGACAUCACAGAGAAAGGGGGGGCGGGAGAUAAUGCAUGCACAUCGAUGGGGCAGAAGCCAUUAAUUGUUACAAUUCCGAACGGUCAGAUAGCAUACAACAUUGACAAGAAGCUGCCAUGUGGGUGGUUUGUUUCAGCUGAAAAAAUAUAUAUAGAUGCAACAAUUUCAAAGAUUUUACUGUUACAGUUCAUCUUAGGAAAUCAGUCAAUUGAAAUAAAUAAAUGAUGUCUUAAUCUAUGGAUUUCAUAUGACUAGGAAAACAGAUAUACAUCUGUUGGUCACAGAUAUCUUUUUUUUUUAAAGGUAGGGGCGUGAAUCAGAAAACCAGUCAGUAUCUGGUGUGACAACCAUUUGCCUCAUACAGCGCGACUCCUUUGCAUAGUUGAUCAGGCUGUUGAUUGUGGCCUAUGGAAUGUUGUCCCACUUCUCUUCAAUGGCCGUGCAAAGUUGCUGGCAGUAACUGUCGAUCCAGAGCAUCCCAAACAUGCUCAAAGGGUGACAUGUCUGGUGAGUAUGCAGGCCAUGGAAGAACUGGGACAUUUUUAGCUCCCAGGAAUUGUGUACAGAUCCUUGCAUUAUCAUGCUGAAACAUAAGGUUAUGGCAGCGGAUUAAUGGCAAGACAAUGGGCCUCAGGAUCUCGUUAUGGUAUCUCUGUACAUUCAAAUUGACAUCAAUAAAAUGCAUAUGUGUUAA